CCUACGGGGGGCUGCAGUGGGGAAUAUUGGACAAUGGGGGCAACCCUGAUCCAGCCAUGCCGCGUGUGUGAAGAAGGCCCUCGGGUUGUAAAGCACUUUCAGUGAGGAAGAACGCCUGGUGGUUAAUACCCAUCAGGAAAGACAUCACUCACAGAAGAAGCACCGGCUAACUCCGUGCCAGCAGCCGCGGUAAUACGGAGGGUGCGAGCGUUAAUCGGAAUUACUGGGCGUAAAGCGCGCGUAGGUGGCUUGAUAAGCCGGUUGUGAAAGCCCCGGGCUCAACCUGGGAACGGCAUCCGGAACUGUCAAGCUAGAGUGCAGGAGAGGAAGGUAGAAUUCCCGGUGUAGCGGUGAAAUGCGUAGAGAUCGGGAGGAAUACCAGUGGCGAAGGCGGCCUUCUGGACUGACACUGACACUGAGGUGCGAAAGCGUGGGUAGCAACCAGGAUUAGAUACCCCAGUAGUC
This 465-nucleotide ribosomal RNA is filed under the name Vreelandella stevensii. Its description in RNAcentral is "partial 16S ribosomal RNA". It matches the Rfam family "Bacterial small subunit ribosomal RNA", at positions 338 to 795 of the family's 1533-position model. The record is from RNAcentral. Lineage: Bacteria; Pseudomonadati; Pseudomonadota; Gammaproteobacteria; Oceanospirillales; Halomonadaceae.